This 476-nucleotide ribosomal RNA is filed under the name uncultured bacterium. RNAcentral's name for it is "partial 16S ribosomal RNA". It matches the Rfam family "Bacterial small subunit ribosomal RNA", at positions 29 to 523 of the family's 1533-position model. The record is from RNAcentral.
AAUGAACGCUGGCGGCGUGCUUAACACAUGCAAGUCGAGCGAGUGAGUUCUUCGGAACGAUCUAGCGGCGGACGGGUGAGUAACACGUGGGCAACCUGCCUCAUAGAGGGGAAUAGCCUCCCGAAAGGGAGAUUAAUACCGCAUAAAAUUAUCGAGUGGCAUCACAUGAUAAUCAAAGGAGUAAUCCGCUAUGAGAUGGGCCCGCGGCGCAUUAGCUAGUUGGUGAGGUAACGGCUCACCAAGGCGACGAUGCGUAGCCGACCUGAGAGGGUGAUCGGCCACAUUGGGACUGAGACACGGCCCAGACUCCUACGGGAGGAAGCAGUGGGGAAUAUUGCACAAUGGGGGAAACCCUGAUGCAGCAACGCCGCGUGAGUGAUGAAGGUCUUCGGAUUGUAAAGCUCUGUCUUUGGGGACGAUAAUGACGGUACCCAAGGAGGAAGCCACGGCUAACUACGUGCCAGCCGCCGCGGUAA